This 160-nucleotide non-coding RNA is filed under the name bovine gut metagenome. RNAcentral's name for it is "malK-I RNA". It matches the Rfam family "malK-I RNA". The record is from RNAcentral.
AGGAUUCACUCCACUUCUUGACCCUGUUAUGUAUUUAAGAAAGGAGAAGAAGCCCGGACUCGGGCUGCGGCAGUGUGGAGACCUGCCGUAAGGUGGAGGGCACAUCCCUCCCCAAGCCGGCCCUCGCGGAGGCGGCGCCGGCAGAGUCAAGGAACAUGUC